RNAcentral lists this non-coding RNA (27 nucleotides) under Bombyx mori (domestic silkworm). Lineage: Eukaryota; Metazoa; Arthropoda; Insecta; Lepidoptera; Bombycidae. The record is from RNAcentral.
UCACGUAUGUCAGGCAUAGUUGUGGAC